RNAcentral lists this ribosomal RNA (253 nucleotides) under uncultured bacterium. Its description in RNAcentral is "partial 16S ribosomal RNA". It matches the Rfam family "Bacterial small subunit ribosomal RNA", at positions 524 to 776 of the family's 1533-position model. The record is from RNAcentral.
UACGAAGGGGGCUAGCGUUGUUCGGAAUUACUGGGCGUAAAGCGCACGUAGGCGGAUUGUUAAGUGAGGGGUGAAAUCCCAGGGCUCAACCCUGGAACUGCCUUUCAUACUGGCAAUCUAGAGUCCGGAAGAGGUGAGUGGAAUUCCGAGUGUAGAGGUGAAAUUCGUAGAUAUUCGGAGGAACACCAGUGGCGAAGGCGGCUCACUGGUCCGGUACUGACGCUGAGGUGCGAAAGCGUGGGGAGCAAACAGG